This 1350-nucleotide ribosomal RNA is filed under the name Lactiplantibacillus plantarum. RNAcentral's name for it is "bacterial SSU rRNA". It matches the Rfam family "Bacterial small subunit ribosomal RNA", at positions 24 to 1340 of the family's 1533-position model. The record is from RNAcentral. Lineage: Bacteria; Bacillati; Bacillota; Bacilli; Lactobacillales; Lactobacillaceae.
UCAGGACGAACGCUGGCGGCGUGCCUAAUACAUGCAAGUCGAACGAACUCUGGUAUUGAUUGGUGCUUGCAUCAUGAUUUACAUUUGAGUGAGUGGCGAACUGGUGAGUAACACGUGGGAAACCUGCCCAGAAGCGGGGGAUAACACCUGGAAACAGAUGCUAAUACCGCAUAACAACUUGGACCGCAUGGUCCGAGUUUGAAAGAUGGCUUCGGCUAUCACUUUUGGAUGGUCCCGCGGCGUAUUAGCUAGAUGGUGGGGUAACGGCUCACCAUGGCAAUGAUACGUAGCCGACCUGAGAGGGUAAUCGGCCACAUUGGGACUGAGACACGGCCCAAACUCCUACGGGAGGCAGCAGUAGGGAAUCUUCCACAAUGGACGAAAGUCUGAUGGAGCAACGCCGCGUGAGUGAAGAAGGGUUUCGGCUCGUAAAACUCUGUUGUUAAAGAAGAACAUAUCUGAGAGUAACUGUUCAGGUAUUGACGGUAUUUAACCAGAAAGCCACGGCUAACUACGUGCCAGCAGCCGCGGUAAUACGUAGGUGGCAAGCGUUGUCCGGAUUUAUUGGGCGUAAAGCGAGCGCAGGCGGUUUUUUAAGUCUGAUGUGAAAGCCUUCGGCUCAACCGAAGAAGUGCAUCGGAAACUGGGAAACUUGAGUGCAGAAGAGGACAGUGGAACUCCAUGUGUAGCGGUGAAAUGCGUAGAUAUAUGGAAGAACACCAGUGGCGAAGGCGGCUGUCUGGUCUGUAACUGACGCUGAGGCUCGAAAGUAUGGGUAGCAAACAGGAUUAGAUACCCUGGUAGUCCAUACCGUAAACGAUGAAUGCUAAGUGUUGGAGGGUUUCCGCCCUUCAGUGCUGCAGCUAACGCAUUAAGCAUUCCGCCUGGGGAGUACGGCCGCAAGGCUGAAACUCAAAGGAAUUGACGGGGGCCCGCACAAGCGGUGGAGCAUGUGGUUUAAUUCGAAGCUACGCGAAGAACCUUACCAGGUCUUGACAUACUAUGCAAAUCUAAGAGAUUAGACGUUCCCUUCGGGGACAUGGAUACAGGUGGUGCAUGGUUGUCGUCAGCUCGUGUCGUGAGAUGUUGGGUUAAGUCCCGCAACGAGCGCAACCCUUAUUAUCAGUUGCCAGCAUUAAGUUGGGCACUCUGGUGAGACUGCCGGUGACAAACCGGAGGAAGGUGGGGAUGACGUCAAAUCAUCAUGCCCCUUAUGACCUGGGCUACACACGUGCUACAAUGGAUGGUACAACAAGUGGCGAACUCGCGAGAGUAAGCUAAUCUCUUAAAGCCAUUCUCAGUUCGGAUUGUAGGCUGCAACUCGCCUACAUGAAGUCGGAAUCGCUAGUA